RNAcentral lists this ribosomal RNA (301 nucleotides) under uncultured bacterium. RNAcentral's name for it is "partial 16S ribosomal RNA". It matches the Rfam family "Bacterial small subunit ribosomal RNA", at positions 509 to 807 of the family's 1533-position model. The record is from RNAcentral.
CAGCAGCCACGGUAAGACAGAGGAUGCAAGCGUUAUCCGGAAUGAUUGGGCGUAAAGCGUCUGUAGGUGGCUUUUCAAGUCCGCCGUCAAAUCCCAGGGCUCAACCCUGGACAGGCGGUGGAAACUACCAAGCUGGAGUACGGUAGGGGCAGAGGGAAUUUCCGGUGUAGCGGUGAAAUGCGUAGAGAUCUGGAGGAAUACCGGUGGCGAAGGCGGCCCCCUGGACAAAGACUGACGCUCAGGUGCGAAAGCGUGGGGAGCAAACAGGAUUAGAUACCCGAGUAGUCCCUGUCUCUUAUAC